GGGUUUGCAGAGCGCUUUCAUCUGCCCGACGCGGAAAUCUCCCGCAGCGAUCUUCUACCUUUAACGGGCAGCCGCAGCACCCAGAAGGCAUGUUAAAGAGAGAUUGAGAACCGCCAGCAAAACUACUGAUUCAAGACCAUCAAUCUUCAGAUGAUCAUGCAACAGGGUUUCCAGCCAGUUCCAAAUGAAGACAGCACCCCGGCCACCAAGAAACUACUCUGUUGGCCGGGUGCAGUGGCUCACGCCUGUAAUCCCAGCACUUUGGGAGGCUGAGUGUCUCACUAUUUUGCCAAGGCUGGAGUGCAGUGGCAUGAUCAUGGCGCACUGCAACCUCAAACUCCUGGGCUCGAGUGAUCCUUCCACCUCAACCUUCCGAGUAGCUGUGGCACAGGCAGAAAUGCAACUAUAGUUUCUCAAGUGUCUUCAGCUUGAAACGUUCAGAAUACUAAUUCAGCAGAUUUUGGAGUGGCACAUCCUUCACUCCUUCACUAUGAAUUCAUCUCACAGAAAUGAAAAGGUAACUGACUUUGCUGUUAGAAGUCCUUGAAUUUCAAAAUAAAAGUCCUGGGCUUAAAAAGUCUGAAUGUUAUGCUGUGUGUUUUUUGCCUCCGAGUUUUUCGUUUCAGACUAAAGUAGCUAGGGUUAUAAGUAAUAUAAGAAGUGUGAUGGCUUUGUACUCUGUCGACUUAGCUAAAUUCAAACUAAGCAUCCCAGCUUCCUUCCCUGAAUGAUUCUAAAUUACAGUUCAUCACGGGAGAAACAUGAACAAGUUUUAGAAGCCACAAGUGAAGCA
Molecule: long non-coding RNA, 793 nt
Organism: Rhinopithecus roxellana (golden snub-nosed monkey)
Lineage: Eukaryota; Metazoa; Chordata; Mammalia; Primates; Cercopithecidae
Exons: 3
Source: RefSeq, a predicted model, not a curated record